This 21-nucleotide microRNA is filed under the name Anolis carolinensis (green anole). RNAcentral's name for it is "aca-miR-5462". Lineage: Eukaryota; Metazoa; Chordata; Lepidosauria; Squamata; Anolidae. The record is from miRBase by way of RNAcentral.
AUCACUUUGCACAACUAGCCU